GCCCCGGCUAACUACGUGCCAGCAGCCGCGGUAAUACGUAGGGGGCUAGCGUUGUCCGGAAUCACUGGGCGUAAAGGGUUCGCAGGCGGAAAUGCAAGUCAGAUGUAAAAGGCAGUAGCUUAACUACUGUAAGCAUUUGAAACUGUAUAUCUUGAGAAGUGUAGAGGUAAGUGGAAUUUUUAGUGUAGCGGUGAAAUGCGUAGAUAUUAAAAAGAAUACCGGUGGCGAAGGCGACUUACUGGGCACAUUCUGACGCUGAGGAACGAAAGCGUGGGUAGCAAACAGGAUUAGAUACCCUGGUAGUCCACGCUGUAAACGAUGAGUGCUAGGUGUCGGCAAAAGUCGGUGCCGCAGUUAACACAUUAAGCACUCCGCCUGGGGAGUACGUGCGCA
RNAcentral lists this ribosomal RNA (393 nucleotides) under uncultured bacterium. RNAcentral's name for it is "bacterial SSU rRNA". It matches the Rfam family "Bacterial small subunit ribosomal RNA", at positions 490 to 890 of the family's 1533-position model. The record is from RNAcentral.